AACGUAGGACGCGAGCGUUAUCCGGAAUUACUGGGCGUAAAGGGCGUGCAGGCGGUUUGUUAAGUCUAGGGUGAAAGCUCCCGGCUCAACUGGGAGAGGUCCUUGGAUACUGGCAGACUUGAGGAGAGUAGAGGAGAGUGGAAUUCCCGGUGUAGUGGUGAUAUGCGUAGAUAUCGGGAGGAACACCAGUGGCGAAGGCGGCUCUCUGGGCUCUACCUGACGCUGAGACGCGAAAGCGUGGGGAGCGAACCGG
This 253-nucleotide ribosomal RNA is filed under the name uncultured bacterium. Its description in RNAcentral is "partial 16S ribosomal RNA". It matches the Rfam family "Bacterial small subunit ribosomal RNA", at positions 524 to 776 of the family's 1533-position model. The record is from RNAcentral.